This 276-nucleotide ribosomal RNA is filed under the name Pneumocystis carinii. Its description in RNAcentral is "partial large subunit ribosomal RNA". It matches the Rfam family "Bacterial large subunit ribosomal RNA", at positions 821 to 1054 of the family's 2925-position model. Lineage: Eukaryota; Fungi; Ascomycota; Pneumocystomycetes; Pneumocystales; Pneumocystaceae. The record is from RNAcentral.
GUGAAAUACAAAUCGGACUAGGAUAUAGCUGGUUUUCUGCGAAAAUUGUUUUGGCAAAUUGUUUAUUUUUUUUCAUUCAUUCAUUCAAAGAAUGAAUGUAUAAUAAUAAUAAUAGUGGGUAUAGCACUGAAUACUUUGGGGGAGUAUUAUUAUAUUUAUCUCGGGUAUUUAAUCUCAAAAUAACUAUUUAUUUAUAGGUAAAUAAUCAGACUAUUUGCGAUAAGGUAGAUAGUCAAAAGGGAAACAGCCCAGAACAGUUAUUAAAGCUCCCCAAUU